AUUUUUAAUGAAAAUUUCACAAAUUGCCUGGUCUGUUUCAGGCAAAUUGUGUAAAUAUGAAAUACAUGAAAUAGAUGAUAAAAAUAUAUUGUAAAGCUACACAAAAGGGUUAAGUAAAAUAAAUUAAAGAUUAUUCUUUAAAAAUGUAGCCAUAAUUGUCAACCAUUUUCCAAAGUGUACAAAACAUACACUUUGUCCGACCCCC
Molecule: long non-coding RNA, 205 nt
Filed under: Mytilus galloprovincialis (Mediterranean mussel)
Lineage: Eukaryota; Metazoa; Mollusca; Bivalvia; Mytilida; Mytilidae
Source: RNAcentral